This 253-nucleotide ribosomal RNA is filed under the name uncultured bacterium. Its description in RNAcentral is "partial 16S ribosomal RNA". It matches the Rfam family "Bacterial small subunit ribosomal RNA", at positions 524 to 776 of the family's 1533-position model. The record is from RNAcentral.
UACGUAGGGUGCGAGCGUUGUCCGGAAUUAUUGGGCGUAAAGAGCUUGUAGGCGGUUUGUCGCGUCUGCCGUGAAAAUCCGAGGCUCAACCUCGGACUUGCGGUGGGUACGGGCAGACUAGAGUGUGGUAGGGGAGACUGGAAUUCCUGGUGUAGCGGUGAAAUGCGCAGAUAUCAGGAGGAACACCGAUGGCGAAGGCGGCAUCCUGGACCAACACUGACACUGAGGAGCGAAAGCCAGGGGAGCAAACGGG